GCCGGGCAUGGUGGCGCAUGCUUGUAGUCCCAGCUACUUGGGAGGCUGAGGCAGGAGGAUCGCUUGAACCCAGGAGGCAGAGGUUUGCAGUGAGCCGAGAUCGUGCCACUGCACUCCAGCCUGGGAGACAGAGUGAGAUUCCGUCUCAA
Molecule: unclassified non-coding RNA, 149 nt
Organism: Macaca fascicularis (crab-eating macaque)
Lineage: Eukaryota; Metazoa; Chordata; Mammalia; Primates; Cercopithecidae
Rfam family: Metazoan signal recognition particle RNA
About the family: The signal recognition particle (SRP) is a universally conserved ribonucleoprotein. It is involved in the co-translational targeting of proteins to membranes. The eukaryotic SRP consists of a 300-nucleotide 7S RNA and six proteins: SRPs 72, 68, 54, 19, 14, and 9.
Source: Ensembl